CGCGCAGGCGGCCUGGUCAGUCAGAUGUGAAAGCCCGGGGCUCAACCUCGGAAGUGCAUUUGAUACUGCUAGGCUUGAGUAUAGGAGAGGGAAGUGGAAUUCCUGGUGUAGAGGUGAAAUUCGUAGAUAUCAGGAGGAACACCGGUGGCGAAGGCGACUCCCUGGACCAAUACUGACGCUGAGGCGCGAAGGCGUGGGGAGCAAACA
RNAcentral lists this ribosomal RNA (207 nucleotides) under uncultured bacterium. Its description in RNAcentral is "partial 16S ribosomal RNA". It matches the Rfam family "Bacterial small subunit ribosomal RNA", at positions 568 to 774 of the family's 1533-position model. The record is from RNAcentral.